CUUAGAAAAAUCAGUCCUUAGGUUGUUCUCCAUAUAAAGCUCUGCUUGGCUUCAACAUGAUUAACCAUGGGACCGAUUAUAAGCUCUUGAAACAAUUAUCUCUACUAGAGGAACAUAGUCGCUUGAAUAGAGUGGGCCAAUUAGCAUUAUUACGGAAAGACAUAAAAUAGAAUAACGAAUGUUAAGCAAUACAACCUAAGAUCUAACCCUGUUGUAUAUAGAGAAGGACAAGAAGUCUUUAAGCGAAACUUUCACUUAAGCAAUUUUAGUCAGAAUUACAAUAAGAAGUUAGGCCAUCAAUUUUCAAAGUGUAGAACUAAAAAGAAAUUAGGUAAUGCGUUUUAUCUAUUACAAACGUUAACAGAAAAAGAAAUCGGAACACAUCACGCAAAAGAUAUACGAAGCUAAUUCCAGCUAAUCUGUCUGCGAUUACUCGUCGGAUUAUCUGUGGUUGUAAUGGUUGGCCUUGGAGAAAAUUAAUUAAAGUUCAAAAGAAUAUUUAAAAUUACGGCUUACGCGCCCUACGAUAUUCGAACAAUCAGGCGAUCAAGGUUGCCAUCUGAUCCUCGCAAUCGAUUUAUCGAUUAUAAAAAACUAUCUUUUCCGACCCAAGCCGCGUGUGUCCCGAAAAAGUGCAUAGAAACUUUAGAAAAAUCUAACGGCAUCCGCGACCUAAUCAGCUAAUUUAGCUAACAGGCGCACACCCGCCAAUCCCGAGCUAAAAAAGGCCCAAUACCGCGUGCUAUCACGGCUGGCUGCUCCGGCAUUACCUUACAUAAAGGCCUUAGGAUUAAAUUCAACUAUAUCAGUCAAACAUAGGGCAGCUCUACCUCCCAUUUUCAUCAUCGUCGUUCCUCCAUAAAAAGGCCCCGUUCAAGCCUUACAAAAGGGCUAGCAAAAACCCUUUCGACCCAGCAGCUAUUUUUAGCGCGGUCGAAGCAACACAAUUCAAUCUUUAACAUCGUCGUCUGUUGUUGUUAUCCUACCCGCGCUAUUCAAGGCGGCUGAGCAGCGCGAAGGUAAGAUCAACGCCCACAACUCCGACGAGGGAGGAAUCUUCGCCAGGUCAGGAUCGACAAAUACUUAAAAACGAAGAUAAACCCCUCUGCUAUUUGUCUAAAAAUUGACACUUUUGUUGAAAAAAAAAAAUUUUGAAGUUAAAGUUUUUCUAAAAGGAUGAGCUGGUAAGGAGACUGAUAGAAGACAGCGAAAGGCAAAACAUAGGCCUACUAAUAGGCUGUGAUGCUAACGGGAAUUGGAAAGUACAGACACAAACGACCACGGUGAGUCUCUUUUUAACUUUAUCUUUAGUUCAAAUCUCUUCAUAUGUAAUAAAGGUAAUGACCCCACUUUUACCAUUAAGAACCUCUCGUCUCUAAACUACUAUUAGAGACAGUAACUCACUAGAGGGUGCUAGGUAAGCACUUUUUCUCGGACCACAGGUAUAUAGAAACGACCCUCACAACCAACCCAUCAAAACCAGCAGUUUUUAUGAACCCAAGGAAAACAGACUGGCAAAAAUACAAAAAUAUUUUAAAGGAAAAAAUCCCAAUGGAUCGCCCUCCAUACCCUCAAACAAUUUCUAGUCUAAACGAACUAGUUUCUA
Long non-coding RNA from Drosophila yakuba, 1606 nucleotides. RefSeq lists it as uncharacterized. NCBI's taxonomy places the organism in Eukaryota, Metazoa, Arthropoda, Insecta, Diptera, Drosophilidae. The transcript has 3 exons. The record is from RefSeq and is a predicted model, not a curated record.